GGCGUGGUGACAGAUUGGCUAUGUGACGGACUGCAAAUCCGUUCAGGUUGGUUCGAUUCCAGCACACGCCUCCA
This 74-nucleotide transfer RNA is filed under the name Alcaligenes faecalis. RNAcentral describes it as "tRNA-Cys". It matches the Rfam family "tRNA". Rfam says of the family: Transfer RNA (tRNA) molecules are approximately 80 nucleotides in length. RNAcentral also lists the same sequence under 28 other names. Lineage: Bacteria; Pseudomonadati; Pseudomonadota; Betaproteobacteria; Burkholderiales; Alcaligenaceae. The record is from RNAcentral.